RNAcentral lists this unclassified non-coding RNA (318 nucleotides) under uncultured Udeniozyma. RNAcentral describes it as "sequence contains ITS2". Lineage: Eukaryota; Fungi; Basidiomycota; Microbotryomycetes; Chrysozymaceae. The record is from RNAcentral.
AACGCACCUUGCGCUCUCUGGUAUUCUGGAGAGCAUGCCUGUUUGAGUGUCAUGAACUCUUCAACCCACCAGUUUCUUGUUAGACUGUGUUGGUGUUUGGUUUCUGAAUGUUGCUGGUUCCUCGUGAACGCUAGCUCGUUUAAAAUAUAUUGGCAUCUCAAUUUCGAAACUUGGAUUGACUCAGCGUAAUAGACUAUUCGCUGAGGACACCUUUCAUUAGGUGGCCAUGUUAGAUAACGACCGAUGCUCAUAGCACUCUAUCUAGUCAUUCUUUUAAGAUUAGACCUCAGAUCAGGCAGGAUUACCCGCUGAACUUAA